AUCAGGAAAGAAUAAUGACGGUACCUGAUGAAUAAGCACCGGCUAACUCCGUGCCAGCAGCCGCGGUAAUACUGGGGGUGCAAGCGUUACUCGGAAUCACUGGGCGUAAAGGACGCGUAGGCGGAUUAUCAAGUCUUUUGUGAAAUCUAACAGCUUAACUGUUAAACUGCUUAGGAAACUGAUAAUCUAGAGUAGGGGAGAGGUAGAUGGAAUUCUUGGUGUAGGGGUAAAAUCCGUAGAGAUCAAGAAGAAUACCCAUUGCGAAAGCGAUCUGCUGGAACCUAACUGACGCUGAGGCGUGAAAGCGUGGGUAGCAAACAGGAUUAGAUACCCUGGUAGUCCACGCCCUAAACGAUG
RNAcentral lists this ribosomal RNA (357 nucleotides) under uncultured Campylobacter sp. Its description in RNAcentral is "bacterial SSU rRNA". It matches the Rfam family "Bacterial small subunit ribosomal RNA", at positions 438 to 811 of the family's 1533-position model. Lineage: Bacteria; Pseudomonadati; Campylobacterota; Epsilonproteobacteria; Campylobacterales; Campylobacteraceae. The record is from RNAcentral.